RNAcentral lists this long non-coding RNA (409 nucleotides) under Androctonus crassicauda. Lineage: Eukaryota; Metazoa; Arthropoda; Arachnida; Scorpiones; Buthidae. The record is from RNAcentral.
AGGCAAUCUCAAUCUUUGCACUGACGUUGGCUUUUUACGCAUACUGUACCCAUGCUACACCAUGCUUCAAGACAAAAUUUCAUUUAUUUGUAAUUAGAAAUAAAUAUUUCACAAUAUAUAAUUACAUAUCUUUUUUGUGAUUAAUCACUAUGCUUUAAUUAUGUUCAAUUUGUAACAAUGAAAAUAAAUCCUGCAUAUCAGAUAUUUAUAUUACGAUUCAUAACAACAGCAAAAUUAGUUAUGAAGUAGCAAUGAAAAUCAUUUAUGGUUGGGGUCACCACAACAUGAGGAACUGUAUUAAAGGGUCGCACCAUUAGGAAGGUUGAGAACCACUGAUCUAAUAUAAAUGGAAUUAUUUAAUUAUUUUGUUUUAUUUUAUAAAGAAAAUACUUCAUUCUAUAGCCAUUCC